Panicum virgatum (switchgrass) is the source of this 2974-nucleotide long non-coding RNA. RefSeq lists it as uncharacterized. The transcript is spliced from 2 exons. NCBI's taxonomy places the organism in Eukaryota, Viridiplantae, Streptophyta, Magnoliopsida, Poales, Poaceae. The record is from RefSeq and is a predicted model, not a curated record.
CACGGGCUGUCACAUAAGCCGCCCGCGCACGCCGGCCAGCGCUGGCUGCCACGACACUGCACCUUUGCCGAGCCGUCUGUGGUGCUGCCCGCGCUCCCUGGUUGCUGCGCCGCCGCGCCUUGCCGCCCGCCUCGCCGAGCCAGCCGCGGCACCACUUGCGCGCGGCUGCCGCGCCGCCGCACCCGGCGCGAGGAGGGACGGCGAGGAGGCGCGCAGGGUGGAUCUGUGCUCUGCGGCUACUGGAGGGCGAGUGGGCCACCAUCGACCUCAUCUCACUUCCCCAUCACGAGGGCCGCUUAGUUCCCAUCGCGGCAACACUCCUUUGCAGGAAGUACACAGCAAGCAUGUCUUCUGAUUGAUUGAUGAGUGUGCUUUCAGAUGAGGCAAUCUCUUUUUCAUGUAAAUAUACUAGUAAUAUUUAAUCUCGUCUUCAUUUCCGAAAUCGAAUGUGGCUAAUCACCUGAUGCAUCCGUACAAUGUGGUUCCAUUUCAGAGAUAAUUUUUGCCUUACUUGAUUUAUUUCCCAGAAUGAAUGCCGAAUUAUUUGAUUCAUGUGUAGAACUGCAGUUCCAUUUUAGUUUCUCUUUUUCUUGUUGUAAUCAGUAAUCUUCAUGUUUGUUACUGCCGUUCAAACUAUUGUUUGUUCCCUUGCUUGUUGUGUAACUUUAGUGAUAAUUGCAUAAGCAUUUUACCAUCAGUGCAUAAUAUAUCAACUGAAAUUAGCUUGUUAACUUUAAGGUUAUAUGCUAUCACUGAAUACUUGAAUCGUCUGUGCAGUUAGUCUAGAAUGUUACAAUUCUUGUGAUGGAAUACUUCUUUCAAUAGUAAUAUCAAAUGCUGGAACUGGUUUUAAUUCGAAUUUGCUAAUUCAAAGUUUGGAUUUUGUGUUCAGUGAUGUAUUUAAAAUAAGUGAUAUGAAUAGAAGUAUAGAACUCAGCUCCUGAACUGAUUGUGCUAAUUAUUUGGUACUCUACCAGUAAAAUUAGCACAUAGUUCAUUUUGUGAAUGACUGAACCGGCAAGCAGAAUGUACAUUGCAUUGGCUUAUAGGGAAGUAAUAUUAAUUUGGUACUCGACCAGUAAAAUUUAUGGACUAUGGAUGGCAUAUGGACUGUAGGAAUUUGGCAGUAAUCCUUUUUGUUUUUUUUGUUUUUUUUGAAAGUACCCAGGAGCACUGGGGAGUCAUGUAAGAUUUCUGGACGCUCACGUUGACCGGACUCAACGCAGACGAGGCUGCCCGAGUAGUCUCGAAACGCGCCAUACCGAGGACGCACACCACCACACACGCGCGCACACACACAGCACACACGCACACAGCCCCAGUACCCAGGUGCGGACGGGGGCUCGAACCCCCGCCGGUAGGCUCCCAUCAACGGGAGUUACCGCUGGGCCAGAGGCCCAUCUGCAGUAAUCCUUUUUGUGGAAUGACCUAUGGAUGGCAUAUGGACUCUAGUUGACUGCUAGUUGUUAUCAUGAAUAUUUCAAAUACUUGUCCAAGUUCAGGGAAGAACUCUCAGUAAUGACUGCUAGUUGUUAUCAUGAUUAUUAAUUUGAGCAUCAUUUUUACUGAAUAAACUUGGGCUAAAGAGCAGAAUAUGAUUUAUACUUGUUUGCAGGGGUCAAAAUGCUUCCAUAAUAUGAUAGUGGAAGAUGAAAAGGAGUUGGUUAGAAUUCCAUUAGAUUUGAAUGAGAAUCCGAGUGCAACAGUUGUCCUACCAUCGGAAGUGAGACAAUUGUUCUACCACCGGAAAUUAGAGCCACAUGUCCAAUAAAAUAGUGACUUUAUUGUUAUAUCAUAUCAUGUAUUCUUGAGACCAUUUCUUUUGAAUAUAUAUAUUUUUUAUAUGUAUGCAUAUUUUAAGAGUCAUGAAUUAUUUGAAUGUACUGUGUAUUCUCUAAUGUAUGCAACAAAAGAUCUACAAAGAUCAGUUAUGCACUAGAUCACCACGAGUUUGUGUGUCAAAGGAUGAAUUAAUCACUCUGUAGACAACCAAAGAGACAGCUCAUUGUACAAGCUGUCUGUUUGUGACAAAAAGACAGCAGCUGUCUGCACUGUUGUACUUGCCCUUAGAUGUAUAUGCAUCUUAUGUAUUUAAUCACUAGUAUAGGGUGCUCUUUGCAUAUUAUAUGUGACCUUAUCGCCCCCAUUGGGCAUGUGAUGAGAACAUGCCCCCAGAGGUUACUCAAGUUACACAUAAACAUGUUUAUGAUGGGCCAAUUACACGAAGCCGUGCAAAAUUACUACAAAAAGAGGUGAACUCACUCCUAUCUGAAACUAACUUCAAUAUAUUUGAGGAUGUUAUACUGCCUAAAUGUUCUAUUUUGAUUCUACUUAGGCAUGUACAUAAAGAAGAUUGGAACAUCAAGCAAUCAGCCAACCAAUUCACGUCAACCAGUUCGGACCAGUCCGAACCAGUUCGGACAGCCAGUUUGGACCACCAAACGAAACACCCAUAACUCUUGAUUCUCGAAAGAUUUGAAGGCCCAUGAGUACCCGUUGGAAAGAUUAUGAAGUCUACUUUCCAACCCAACAAGUUUCAUGUCAUUUCGACUUCCCAAUCAGGAUUUAUGAUCGAAUCAUUGAAGACUGCUCAGAAUGUCAAGAGUCUGCCCGAGGAUUUAUCUUGCUCAACUUCCCAUGGAAGACUGUACCAUUCUACAUUGUUUCAUGGCGCAUGCCACACAAGCAUGGAAAGCUUAUCAAGUCUAGUUUCACACCCAACAAACGGCUUAUCGUUUCGACUUCCGAGUAGGGAGAAAUGGUCAUUUUACUAAAUACUGCGCAGAAGCCCAGGAGACGCGUGGGAAUUGAAGAUGAUCUCGUGAAUGCUUCACCUGUUGGGCCUCCAUCUUCCAAUGUGGAGACUUCAGUUCAUACCUAUCUAGGAGGGUUGUUCCUAGUAUAAAUAUUCUUUAUGUGUACUCAGAAAAGGACCUUUUGAUCAUUUGAUAAACCGAUAUGGUAUUCCAGCUGA